AGCUUUGCAUAGCACCAGUACUGUAGCCAAUGAGGUUUAUCCGAGGUGCGAUUAUGGCUAAUUUAAAACUUUUCCAAUACCCCGCCGUGACAACUUGCAGUAUAACCCGCAUUGGCCAUUGUUGAGUCUCUACCAUAGA
Callithrix jacchus (white-tufted-ear marmoset) is the source of this 139-nucleotide small nuclear RNA. Its record names the gene U4. It matches the Rfam family "U4 spliceosomal RNA". Rfam says of the family: U4 small nuclear RNA (U4 snRNA) is a component of the major U2-dependent spliceosome. The structure of U4 snRNA from yeast and human has been reported. The record is from Ensembl. Lineage: Eukaryota; Metazoa; Chordata; Mammalia; Primates; Cebidae.